AUUGAACGCUGGCGGAAUGCUUUACACAUGCAAGUCGAACGGCAGCACGGACUUCGGUCUGGUGGCGAGUGGCGAACGGGUGAGUAAUACAUCGGAACGUGCCCAGUCGUGGGGGAUAACGUAGCGAAAGCUACGCUAAUACCGCAUACGAUCUACGGAUGAAAGCGGGGGAUCGCAAGACCUCGCGCGAUUGGAGCGGCCGAUGGCAGGUUAGGUAGUUGGUAGGGUAAAGGCCUACCAAGCCGACGAUCUGUAGCUGGUCUGAGAGGAUGAUCAGCCACACUGGGACUGAGACACGGCCCAGACUCCUACGGGAGGCAGCAGUGGGGAAUUUUGGACAGUGGACGCAAGUCUGAUCCAGCCAUUCCGCGUGCAGGAUGAAGGCCCUCGGGUUGUAAACUGCUUUUGUACAGAACGAAAAGGCUCUGGUUAAUACCUGGGGCUCAUGACGGUACUGUAAGAAUAAGCACCGGCUAACUACGUGCCAGCCGCCGCAGUAA
This 500-nucleotide ribosomal RNA is filed under the name uncultured bacterium. RNAcentral describes it as "partial 16S ribosomal RNA". It matches the Rfam family "Bacterial small subunit ribosomal RNA", at positions 30 to 523 of the family's 1533-position model. The record is from RNAcentral.